Molecule: long non-coding RNA, 2201 nt
Organism: Lathyrus oleraceus (garden pea)
Lineage: Eukaryota; Viridiplantae; Streptophyta; Magnoliopsida; Fabales; Fabaceae
Exons: 6
Source: RefSeq, a predicted model, not a curated record
UAAUUAAAACAAUUAUUAAAUUAAUUCUACAAUUAACUAACAAUUAAAACAAAGCAAAGUUCUAACCAAGAUAAUGGACUAUAAGGAAAACAACAUGGGCCUCAAAUGAGAAGCCCAAUCCGUGAGGGUGCAGCGUUGAAAAACGGGGUAUUGAAGGAAAUUGGGCGUUGAAGUCCAAUCCAAGGCCCACCGACCACGGUCUUCACCAACAGGGGGAGCAAGACUUAAUGUAAGGGUGCAAAGUAGUAGUUCUAUGGGCUUUGGACCAAUCUGCUUCAUCAAAGGAAGUCCACAUUCCUUCUCACGUGCCAGAUCACACUCUCUCUUUUCAAACGCUCCCUCCAAACACUGGCCAACGAACCAAGCCUCCGUCGCGCCGGAGCUCAUCGCCGGCAGUGGCGGAGCUCCAAACAUGAAAUCCAGAUACCAAAACGGUCCUCUCCACCUCACGGUUCAGAAUCCUCAAACCACGUAUCCUAAUUCUAAACUCAUAAGCCGAAUCGCAACCGAACAUGUAUGAACCCUAAGCUAAUCUGUCAACAAUUAAACGCGAUAUAAUGGAAAUCAAACACCAGCAGGUUAGGGCUUCGAUCUCCCUAACCUGAUACUACACUAUGGCAAUCAAAUUUGAUAAGGAGCACAUGGAUUAAGUAAAUUACCUGCCAGAGACGAAGACGGAGAUGGCGAAGGCGAUGACAACGAUCACAGGACACAUGCUGACAUGGUUGCUGAAUUGGUACUACACACACCAUCUACUUUGCAUUGUAGAGGUUAACCCAAGGACUGCAUAGGUUAGGCUUGUAAGCUUCAUUGCAGGUUGCAUUUUAUCUCUUAUUCAGGACACAAUUGUACUGAUGUGGGGGUUUCUUCAGGUAUGAUACCUACUGAUUUGGUUUGGAUUAUUUGUGGACCUGUUUUAGUGUGGGUUAGCAAAAAAUGGUUUUGUUUUGUGGUUUCUGAACUACUAUGUGAUGUAGUGUUGUUGCUUAUUGGUACACACAAAUGAUGUUAUUUGCUAGCUAGAUAGAUGCAUUGAUAUGGCUUGAACGAUUUUGGAACUUGGCUUGAUAGUAGGUCUGUGCUGGUAUGCUUCUACCCUUGAUUGUAUAGGUGGCUCAAGAUAAAAAAUACAAGGUUUCAAGCCAUUGACAUUGUUCUGCAGUAGGCUAGCUGAACACCUUGUCAUGAACCAAUAUGUGCAAGGCCUUGGCUUCAUAUGAUCCCACAGGAUCCCAUUAGCUGCCCUUUUACAUGGUCCUGCAGGUUUUGCAGCAGGAUGCUCUGCCUGGAUUCAAUGACAUUGUUUGUGGCAGCUUGGUAUGCAACUGAUUCAGGGCUUAUGAUGGUGGUUAAAGGGUCGAGUGGAGAUUGAGGCAGAUGGCAUAACAGGUAUGCAUCCAGUAGGUAAUCACUGCCAGUCUGUAGCAUGACUGCAGCUUUAGGUUCAUGGCCAAUAUAGAUAGGCAUAUGCUGGCUGGUGGAAUGGAUUUAAGAUGUUCAGCUUGGUGCCACUAUUGAAUUUACCUGGUCAUGCACAGUAGGUUGGUAUUGUCUAUGAUAGAAAUGCAAAUUCAUUCAUGGUCUGAUUGGUUAGAAUGUAUUGCAACAAGGUGUUGCAAUAUUUUGCAAUAUUUCAUGACACGCUGGAUGUGGUUCUGCUGGUGAGAUUCAGUUGCUGCAGAGUUGAUGGUUUGUGACACUUCCUUGACAUAACUUCUGCAAGGUUCAUGGCUGGAUGUGGCAGGCUAACAUUUGCAUGUUUUAUGGCUUUAAUUUCAUGGCAUUGCUAACUGGUGGUAUAGAUUUGGUUAGGCUACAUGCUUUUGACCUUAGUGUGUCUUCCCUUGUUUGCUUCAUUAGCACAGUUUUGCAGCAUAUGGUCAUACACUCAUGGAGGAUUGUGGGACAAAGGCUUAAAACAUGAUGACAUCAAGUUUGCACUUUGAAGUAUCAAUGACAAAUGGCAAAGACCAAGGAUCAAGAGUGAACUUUUGGAGAUUAGAAAGGGAUUUAGGAUUUUAGAAUGUAAAAUGGUUGAGUUGACUUUGGUCAAAGUUGACCAAAAAGUCAACCAUUGACCAAAGUCAACAAUUGGUCAACACACCCCUUUUUUAAUUCUUUUCCAUGUAAUGAACUUUUUAUGAUCAUGUAAUGAAUGACAUUUCCUUAUUUGAAUGAAAUUGGAUUGGCAUUUGAAGGAA